CCUACGGGAGGCAGCAGUGAGGAAUAUUGGUCAAUGGACGAGAGUCUGAACCAGCCAAGUAGCGUGAAGGAUGACUGCCCUAUGGGUUGUAAACUUCUUUUAUAUGGGAAUAAAACGUUCCACGUGUGGGAUUUUGUAUGUACCAUAUGAAUAAGGAUCGGCUAACUCCGUGCCAGCAGCCGCGGUAAUACGGAGGAUCCGAGCGUUAUCCGGAUUUAUUGGGUUUAAAGGGUGCGUAGGUGGAUUGUUAAGUCAGUUGUGAAAGUUUGCGGCUCAACCGUAAAAUUGCAGUUGAAACUGGCAGUCUUGAGUACAGUAGAGGUGGGCGGAAGUCGUGGUGUAGCGGUGAAAUGCUUAGAUAUCACGAAGAACUCCGAUUGCGAAGGCAGUUCACUGGACUGCAACUGACACUGAGGCUCGAAAGUGUGGGUAUCAAACAGGAUUAGAUACCCCUGUAGUC
RNAcentral lists this ribosomal RNA (460 nucleotides) under uncultured bacterium. RNAcentral describes it as "partial 16S ribosomal RNA". It matches the Rfam family "Bacterial small subunit ribosomal RNA", at positions 338 to 795 of the family's 1533-position model. The record is from RNAcentral.